UAUUGGACAAUGGGCGAAAGCCUGAUCCAGCAAUGCCGCGUGAGUGAUGAAGGCCUUAGGGUUGUAAAGCUCUUUUACCCGGGAUGAUAAUGACAGUACCGGGAGAAUAAGCUCCGGCUGACUCCGUGCCAGCAGCCGCGGUAAUACGGAGGGAGCUAGCGUUGUUCGGAAUUACUGGGCGUAAAGCGCACGUAGGCGGCUAUUCAAGUCAGAGGUGAAAGCCCGGGGCUCAACCCCGGAAUUGCCUUUGAAACUAGGUAGCUAGAAUCUUGGAGAGGUCAGUGGAAUUCCGAGUGUAGAGGUGAAAUUCGUAGAUAUUCGGAAGAACACCAGUGGCGAAGGCGACUGACUGGACAAGUAUGACGCUAAGGCGCGAGA
This 378-nucleotide ribosomal RNA is filed under the name uncultured bacterium. RNAcentral's name for it is "bacterial SSU rRNA". It matches the Rfam family "Bacterial small subunit ribosomal RNA", at positions 362 to 758 of the family's 1533-position model. The record is from RNAcentral.